CCUACGGGGGGCUGCAGUGGGGAAUAUUGCACAAUGGGCGCAAGCCUGAUGCAGCCAUGCCGCGUGUGUGAAGAAGGCCUUCGGGUUGUAAAGCACUUUCAGCGGGGAGGAAGGCGUUAAGGUUAAUAACCUUGUCGAUUGACGUUACCCGCAGAAGAAGCAUCGGCUAACUCCGUGCCAGCAGCCGCGGUAAUACGGAGGGUGCAAGCGUUAAUCGGAAUUACUGGGCGUAAAGCGCACGCAGGCGGUCUGUCAAGUCGGAUGUGAAAUCCCCGGGCUCAACCUGGGAACUGCAUUCGAAACUGGCAGGCUAGAGUCUUGUAGAGGGGGGUAGAAUUCCAGGUGUAGCGGUGAAAUGCGUAGAGAUCUGGAGGAAUACCGGUGGCGAAGGCGGCCCCCUGGACAAAGACUGACGCUCAGGUGCGAAAGCGUGGGGAGCAAACAGGAUUAGAUACCCGAGUAGUC
This 465-nucleotide ribosomal RNA is filed under the name uncultured Klebsiella sp. Its description in RNAcentral is "bacterial SSU rRNA". It matches the Rfam family "Bacterial small subunit ribosomal RNA", at positions 338 to 795 of the family's 1533-position model. Lineage: Bacteria; Pseudomonadati; Pseudomonadota; Gammaproteobacteria; Enterobacterales; Enterobacteriaceae. The record is from RNAcentral.